AGGAUGGUUUUCUACAUUUGCAAAAGAAAGCCCGGCCAUGCUAUCCUUGACAGAAUUUGUUGGUGCAUUCUUGUUGGGAUAAAGACACCAAACCUUGUCUUUUCCUGCAAGCUUGAGUGCAUCCCACAUCAUAUCCUCAUGUUCAGUUAUUCCAUAAAGACACAAACUAGCAGCGUGGACACCAAAUACUUGCCACAACAACUUCCCUGUGUUAUUUUGUCGCAAAAAAUCCUUUGGGUGCAUGUACAACCAAAACCGCAUCCGAUUCCAAAGAGGACAUGCUAUGAGUUUUGAGCACAUACAAUCGGCCAAGCAAA
This 317-nucleotide unclassified non-coding RNA is filed under the name Hevea brasiliensis (rubber tree). The record is from RNAcentral. Lineage: Eukaryota; Viridiplantae; Streptophyta; Magnoliopsida; Malpighiales; Euphorbiaceae.